RNAcentral lists this ribosomal RNA (237 nucleotides) under Pteridomonas danica. RNAcentral describes it as "partial Bacterial small subunit ribosomal RNA". It matches the Rfam family "Bacterial small subunit ribosomal RNA", at positions 1 to 272 of the family's 1533-position model. Lineage: Eukaryota; Dictyochophyceae; Pedinellales. The record is from RNAcentral.
UUGAGAGUUUGAUCCUGGCUCAGAACGAACGCUGGCGGCAUGCCUAACACAUGCAAGUCGAGCGCACCUUCGGGUGAGCGGCGGACGGGUUAGUAACGCGUGGGAACAUACCCUUUUCUACGGAAUAGCCUCGGGAAACUGAGAGUAAUACCGUAUAAGCCCUUCGGGGGAAAGAUUUAUCGGGAAAGGAUUGGCCCGCGUUAGAUUAGAUAGUUGGUGGGGUAAUGGCCUACCAAG